This 1000-nucleotide long non-coding RNA is filed under the name Mytilus galloprovincialis (Mediterranean mussel). The record is from RNAcentral. Lineage: Eukaryota; Metazoa; Mollusca; Bivalvia; Mytilida; Mytilidae.
CCACUACAAUAAUUAUGUUGGUACGCAAAAUUAUUUUUUAAUUGAUGACUACUUAUCAUAUAUAUACUUAAUGUGACAUUUUUAGUGUUCAUAUACAUUAACUUUCAUUUUAGUGGGUAAUUACUCAUCAAUUGAGGUGCUCCUUAAUUGGAGAAAGAUUCUAAAAACAUAACUUUACAGAAAGAAUGAAAACUGCAGUUGCUCUCCCCAAUCUCAAUAGUAUAAAACUACAAAAGCAACAUUUUUUUUUUUUUUUUUAAACCAUUUCAAUAAUUAUGUUGGUACACAUUUUUUUUUAUAGAAGACUACUUAUCAUAUACUAAAUGUCACAUUUUAAAUGUUCACAAACAUUUACUUUGAUUUUAGUGUAAAAUUACUCAUCAAUUGAUGUGCUCCUGAAUUGGAGGAAGAUUCUAAAAACAGAACUUUACAGAAACAAUGAAAACUCCCGUUUCUCUCCCCAAUCUCAUGUAUCCCCAUUGACAUUGUUUACCGCGAAAGUUGACCUACAUAUUAUCUGAUUAUAGCCUCAGAUUCAAGCAUUUCAUGUUGGUGUGUGAAUCAUCUACACUACAGCAAACAUCAUUAGGUUUAUAUUUAACAAAUACGGAUUUUAAAUUAGUAUACAAGUACUGUGAAUGAUUUUUAUAAUGAAUAAAGAAUAUCCCUGUGUAGUGUGGCAUUCCAACAAUGACGUCACUAGGUUAGAUAUAUUUAGAAUAUUUCGUAAUACUGAUUUUUCCGGACUGUAAAAGAAACGUAUAUAGUGUAAGGGAAAGCUCAAUAUACGAUAAUUUCAUGAGAAACAGAAGGGAAAUGUGUAAAAAAUGUAUUUAAAGUCAAUCUGUUCUCCUUGUCAUCAAUUUCAGUAUGACAUUUUGAGGGGGUUUCCAAACUAUCAAAACAAAAUGAUUGACGUGAGGGAAUGAUACUCUGGCCAACCCCAUUAGGGAAUUGACGGCUUGAAGCCGUCUUUCCCCAAAAAACAGGCAAAGUUGGA